UCUGCCCCUAGAAGCUUUGUAAGUGUGGCCACUGUGUCCCAUGUGUGUCAGUAGGUGGCAGAGAGGAGAGUGGCUAUGUCUACACUCAGUGUUCUGACCUGUGAACAUCUGAUUGAUCCAUAGCCUAACAUU
This is a small nucleolar RNA of Apodemus sylvaticus (European woodmouse), 132 nucleotides long. RefSeq annotates it as small nucleolar RNA SNORA17. The transcript has a single exon. Lineage: Eukaryota; Metazoa; Chordata; Mammalia; Rodentia; Muridae. The record is from RefSeq and is a predicted model, not a curated record.